Molecule: long non-coding RNA, 271 nt
Filed under: Ananas comosus (pineapple)
Lineage: Eukaryota; Viridiplantae; Streptophyta; Magnoliopsida; Poales; Bromeliaceae
Description: long non-coding RNA (ACOM_LNC042921)
Source: RNAcentral
UGAAAUUAUACAUGUCUACUAUGCAUUAUACUUAGGGGAGAAAACCGAUGAUAAACCCACCUCAAAAGUUAAUUCCUGGCAGCAAGAAGAUCUCGGAGAUGCUGGAAACUCAGCCGAACUCCCUCUCAGCCAGCAAGGGUCCACAAUUCAGAUCUGAACCUCCAAAUCUACUAAAAUCCAUCAAAAUGUCACAAUCAAUACAAAUUUUCAGCACUUAAGUUAAAUUAACCCAACUCUAAUGUCCAAACUUACCUAAUCACAUCCAAAUCUG